AGUCGCUGCUUCUUCCACUCAGGACGCUGAAGUGGAGAGUCGCAUGUGAGAUUAGUGGAGAGUUUAAACUCGGUCUUAUUUUUAAAUGUGGACAUAUUUCACCAACAGCAGCGAUAUAACUGUAUGAAGAACAGCAAAGGAUUGUAUUAGUGUGAAUCUGUAGGAGGAGAUAAAGAGAUAAAAAUGGCGGCUGCAAGAAACAAUGAGUUUAAACUCUUUGGACCCCGUGAUGAAGAGCGUCAGUCUCCCUCUGCGGUCACUCUCUCCUGUCACCUGUCUCCUGAAAUCAGUGCUGUUGCCAUGGAGAUCAGGUGGUUUAAGGGGACGGACUGUGUUUGUCUCUAUGAGAACGGG
Molecule: long non-coding RNA, 354 nt
Organism: Colossoma macropomum (tambaqui)
Lineage: Eukaryota; Metazoa; Chordata; Actinopteri; Characiformes; Serrasalmidae
Exons: 3
Source: RefSeq, a predicted model, not a curated record